Long non-coding RNA from Saccostrea echinata, 573 nucleotides. RefSeq lists it as uncharacterized. NCBI's taxonomy places the organism in Eukaryota, Metazoa, Mollusca, Bivalvia, Ostreida, Ostreidae. The record is from RefSeq and is a predicted model, not a curated record. The transcript is spliced from 3 exons.
GUCUGUAAAAGUGCUGUAAAGUUCAACAUGAAGAAUGUGGGAAAGAUUUUGGUCUUUAUAAUGAUCAAUCCUGUACCUUGAUUGUCCGUCUCAGGUGUGUGAAUGUAAUGUGAAACUAUAGGCAAUUUAGGAAGGGUGAAAUGUUGGAUGGCACAUUUUGUUCAGACUAACAAUGCCAUGUGACAAUUAAUUACUGACAACUAUCAGUGACAUGUGAUGUAGAUUAUAAUUGAGCCAGAGCAAUUUCCCACCAUUAAUACAUUGCAUGGCAAUCAAAUAUUGAAGGUGUUUAUAGCUUAUUAUCUCAGAUCCUGUAUAACUAGAUUGGUCAAGUAAUUGUGUUCAUUGUUUGUUAGCUAGAGCUGUGCGACACUCCAGCACUCGGCUUAGGUCAAUUGGCUUGUGAUCUGGGCCAUGUCGCAUAAGGAGUCUGUCACUGGAAGACGCAAGAUGUGAAUUCUCAAGGAGUUUCCAAGAAGGACUGUAUAUGUACAUAUAGAAUCAAAGGGCAGCCAGUAAAGAGAAGUCGAUUUUUGACGAGGCGGCUGUAAAAAGUUCAUCAAUUAAGAGAAA